RNAcentral lists this ribosomal RNA (253 nucleotides) under uncultured bacterium. RNAcentral's name for it is "partial 16S ribosomal RNA". It matches the Rfam family "Bacterial small subunit ribosomal RNA", at positions 524 to 776 of the family's 1533-position model. The record is from RNAcentral.
UACGAAGGGGGCUAGCGUUGCUCGGAAUUACUGGGCGUAAAGGGCGCGUAGGCGGAUAGUUUAGUCAGAGGUGAAAGCCCAGGGCUCAACCUUGGAACUGCCUUUGAUACUGGCUGUCUUGAGUUCGGGAGAGGUGAGUGGAAUGCCGAGUGUAGAGGUGAAAUUCGUAGAUAUUCGGCGGAACACCAGUGGCGAAGGCGACUCACUGGCCCGAUACUGACGCUGAGGCGCGAAAGCGUGGGGAGCAAACAGG